This 219-nucleotide long non-coding RNA is filed under the name Lathyrus oleraceus (garden pea). RNAcentral's name for it is "Pisum sativum (pea) long non-coding RNA (PSAT_LNC032635)". The record is from RNAcentral. Lineage: Eukaryota; Viridiplantae; Streptophyta; Magnoliopsida; Fabales; Fabaceae.
CAAAAGCUCCCAAAGCCCAAGAAAGUGCGAGAAUAAAAAGAAAAAAAAUGAUGAAUUGAGAGAAAGAAAGAAAAAAAUAAAAAGAGAAAAAUUUAUAACUCAAAGAUUAAAAAAGAAGCACGAAAAAGGGCAUUCGGUGAAGAAAAAAAUAAGAAAAGAAAACCGAGCAAAUAAAAGAAACAAACACAGUAUAUAACAUCGACUCUGAACCAAAAGCCC